Molecule: long non-coding RNA, 515 nt
Organism: Rhipicephalus sanguineus (brown dog tick)
Lineage: Eukaryota; Metazoa; Arthropoda; Arachnida; Ixodida; Ixodidae
Exons: 3
Source: RefSeq, a predicted model, not a curated record
CUUUGCAGAUGGCACAAGGAGAGGUCUCUCAGAAUCUCGAGCUCCGUUGCCCACCGUGUCAUAACCAGGAAGAAGUCGUUCGAGACGCUUGCAGAGCAACUGCAGAGGUCAAAGGUUCCUCGUGUACCAGCUAUCUUGUAUGGUACUGCCAUGGAACCGGAGGCCAGGAGGGACUUUGAGAGGAAAGUUGGCACUGCUGUGACACAGGUAGGCCUCGUCAUCAGUCCAUUCCAGCCUUGGCUAUGCGCAAGUCCCAACAGGCAUUUUGAAGCUGGUAGUGAUGUGAAAUUGCUAGAAAUCAAGUGUCCUUAUUCAAGGCGAGAUGAUACUAUGAUUGACCCUGUGUCACAGCAGAGUUAUGUGAACUACAUUAUUUACGAGGAUGGUCACUUGAAAGUUGCUCGCAGCCACCAGUAUUACUGCCAGGUGCAAAUUGCCAUGUAUGUCACCAACACAAAGGAAUGCUUCUUUUUUGUUUACAGUAGGAAACAGAGUAUCAUUGUUGUCGUUGAGCG